This is an RNA transcript of Octopus sinensis (East Asian common octopus), 2849 nucleotides long. RefSeq lists it as uncharacterized. The record is from RefSeq and is a predicted model, not a curated record. The transcript has 6 exons. NCBI's taxonomy places the organism in Eukaryota, Metazoa, Mollusca, Cephalopoda, Octopoda, Octopodidae.
UAGUAAUAGUAGUGGUGAUAGUAGUAUUAGUAAUAGUAGUGUUGCGUGGUGGGAAGAGGAGGAGGAGAAUCGGAGAAGGAAAACCAGGAGACGGGACUGACUCUUCUCCCGUCAUUGUACGUCUGGCGGUCGUACUGCAGCUCAGAAUCGGGGGGAAAAGUGUUACGGCAACCAAUACUAACAACAACAACAACACCAUCACUACUACUACUACUACUAUUAUCAUCAUCACUAUCAACAACACUAACAAAACAGCAGCAUUGAUAAUAAUACCAUUAAGUGUACUACCACCGCCACCGCCACCACCUCCACCUCCACCACCACUCCAACUUGUACCAAUAAUCCAUCCGUCGCCUCCUCCGCCACGAGGGACCGUCGUCGUAUUGUUGCGGCCAGGCGUCUACGUUGCUCACUGCAACAUCUCCACCGGGUUUGCUGCUUCUACUGCUGCUACUCAUAGUAGUAGUGGCACUACUACAGCUGGGAACAUAACAUCAAUUAUGUAUAAUCAAGGAGCAAGGUAUGGGCACUUUGUGAACCAUGGGAGUCGUCAGGCCUUGAUGGGUUAUCACAACUCCCGCGGUCGUUUUGAUCAGCAGAUCCUUAGAAGGAUACCUCUUCAAGAAGCUCACAGACCACGUGUUCCUCCAGGUAGAAAUGCUCAUACAGCAAGUUAUGUACAGCGAACGCACUGGUUCCCUAACUACAGGCGUGGAAACCAACGUGGCAUGGUUACUGGGAACAUGGACCGCCGCAGCAACCCAAGAGGCCAUCGAAAUGCUACACAUCACCAUAAUCAACAGCAACACCGAAACACUGUUCAAAGACACGUAGAGGACAAUGCAGAUGUAUGCUUUAUUUGUGGAGAUUACCUGCAGAACUCAGCUGAAGUAGGCAUACAUUUGUGUGAUGGAGGACCCAAUCCAAGAGCACAGUUGCCAAGUCACCAAGUCAGAGUGCAUCAGCAGCCUAGAGCAAGAGCUGUGCGAAUGGGACAUAGCACUGACUCUCUACAGCAGGAGGUGGCCGUUGCAGGUGCAGUUUCUGAAGCAGUUGCUGCAGCUGUUGCUGCUCCGCCAUCUCCAUCUUUUCAUCGUGCUCAGCCUCCCACUUCUGAUAAUCAUGAAGUUGAGGAUGAUAGCGAUUCUGAAGAAAUGCAGUGUCAUUUUGAAUCUCUGCUUGAAGGCUGCCUAACUGACCUUCAAUCUCGCUAUCAGAAUGCCACUGAACGUUUACAAGAAGGUCUUUCAAGUAAAGCAGACGAAAUUCGCAAGAUCUACCGUAUUGUGCAGAAAGAUAAGAAAAAAACCAAGGAACUGAAGGCUGAAAUGAAUGACCGAGCUGUGGAACUUGAUGAAAGAGAAGCAGAAUUGAAGAAUCUUAAGGACAAAAUUGAGAAAAGUAAACGAGCUCUUGAUGCCGACAGUGAACAACAGACCAAGGAAGUAUCCCGUCUUUGGCAACAGCUUAAGGAUGAGUACAACCGGAUUGAAAAUGUCUACACAGUACAGAAGGGUCGGAUCAAACUAGAUGUUGGUGGACAUGAAUUUACCACAUCAGUGUUCACACUUACCCAGGUACAGGACUCCAUGCUUGCCGCUAUGUUUAGUGGACGUCACGAGAUAAAACACGAAGUUGACGGUAGUGUAUUCAUUGACCGGGAUGGAACACACUUUCGCUACAUUCUCAAUUACUUAAGGGACAGUGACUACAGCUUUGAAGCUUUGCCCCGCAGCAAACAAGUCUUGCGAGAACUGCGCAAUGAAGCCAUAUUCUACCAGCUACCUGGUCUGGUGCAGCAGAUUGAGAAGUUGUUGUGACAUCACCGUUGCCUCCUCAUUCGAACACCACGGCAGUAUUGUUGUGUCUUACGACCUUCAACAAAGAAGAGGCAUAGUGGCUGCAUCUGGUUUUCUCAUUAGCUCAAACUCUUGCUACAGUCAGUGUGUUGUGACCCUAGGCAAAGAACAAUUAAUUCUACAGACUUCAGUCCUCAAGGAUGAGGAGAAUAGCUACCAGAUCUUCUAGGGAUGUUUCCUGCAAUAAUUGGCAUUCUGUCCAGUUGGGGAUUUAACUCACAUCUGCUCUAUGGAAAUAAGUAAUGUGGCUUUGAAAUUUUUCUGUGGUUUGUGAGGAUAUAUAUUGUCACCAUUAUUAUUACUUUGAAGGGGGUGAUGAAGCUGCAGAAACAGAAGAAUACUGGAUUAAGUGCCUUACAGUAUUAUGUUUUUUCACUCUUCAGUCUGAAUUUAAAUUAUGUCAAGGUUGAUUGGGGUGAAUAAAAUAAGUGCCAGUUGUGUGCUGAGCUUGAUUCGAUCAAUUAUAUGUCUCUACUAUAAAUUCCUGACCUUGUACCAAUAUAAGAAAUUAUUGUUGAAGCAGCUGCAUUAUUCUGUCUACUGGAUUACAAAUGAAGUUCUACCACUAAAACUGUAACAUAUACGUGAGCAAGUCACCUAACUCUUCUGAUUUCAGACUACUUGCUAUGAAUGUUGUAUCUGGAAAAAACAGCUUGGAGGCAUGGCUGUAAUUGAACUGAUUGACCAAUUCAUUUGCCUGUUGUGUUAUGUUUGAUUGCUAUGUAGACUGAUGUCUUUGCUUUAUGUGCAGUCUCACCAACCCAUCAUUAAAAGAACUACCGUUAAAGGAUUUGUGACCAGUGUAAAUCUCACCAUGCCAUUGGACCACUAUGCAUUGUUAUUAAUCAAAUGGUUGCAUCCAGUCUAUUCAACAACAAAUUAAUCAUUUGUUGUUGUUGAUAUUGCAUUUAAUUUUGUGGUUUCACUUCAAUAAAAUUAGACUUAAUUAGUUUUCUAAUGUUGGAUUAAAUCAGCCCUCUUCAAAAAGGA